UACGGAGGGUGCAAGCGUUAUCCGGAUUCACUGGGCUUAAAGGGUGCGUAGGUGGGCAGGUAAGUCUGUGGGGAAAUCUCCGGGCUUAACCCGGAAACUGCCGUUGAUACUAUCUGUCUUGAAUAUAGUGGAGGUGAGCGGAAUAUGUCAUGUAGCGGUGAAAUGCUUAGAUAUGACAUAGAACAUCGAUUGCGAAGGCAGCUCGCUACGCUAUUAUUGACACUGAGGCACGAAAGCGUGGGGAUCAAACAGG
Molecule: ribosomal RNA, 253 nt
Filed under: uncultured bacterium
Lineage: Bacteria
Description: partial 16S ribosomal RNA
Rfam family: Bacterial small subunit ribosomal RNA
Source: RNAcentral